GAUGAACGCUGGCGGCGUGCUUAACACAUGCAAGUCGAACGGAAAGGCUCCUGCUUGCAGGGGUACUCGAGUGGCGAGCGGGUGAGUAACACGUGGGUGAUCUGCCCUGCACUUCGGGAUAAGCCUGGGAAACUGGGUCUAAUACCGGAUAGGACGAUGGUUUGGAUGCCAUUGUGGAAAGUUUUUCGGUGUGGGAUGAGCUCGCGGCCUAUCAGCUUGUUGGUGGGGUAAUGGCCUACCAAGGCGUCGACGGGUAGCCGGCCUGAGAGGGUGUACGGCCACAUUGGGACUGAGAUACGGCCCAGACUCCUACGGGAGGCAGCAGUGGGGAAUAUUGCACAAUGGGCGCAAGCCUGAUGCAGCGACGCCGCGUGGGGGAUGACGGCCUUCGGGUUGUAAACUCCUUUCGCUAGGGACGAAGCGCAAGUGACGGUACCUGGAGAAGAAGCACCGGCUAACUACGUG
This 465-nucleotide ribosomal RNA is filed under the name uncultured bacterium. Its description in RNAcentral is "partial 16S ribosomal RNA". It matches the Rfam family "Bacterial small subunit ribosomal RNA", at positions 28 to 507 of the family's 1533-position model. The record is from RNAcentral.